RNAcentral lists this transfer RNA (64 nucleotides) under Dipodomys ordii (Ord's kangaroo rat). It matches the Rfam family "tRNA". Rfam says of the family: Transfer RNA (tRNA) molecules are approximately 80 nucleotides in length. Their secondary structure includes four short double-helical elements and three loops (D, anti-codon, and T loops). Lineage: Eukaryota; Metazoa; Chordata; Mammalia; Rodentia; Heteromyidae. The record is from Rfam by way of RNAcentral.
GGUGGCUCAGUGGUAGAGUGCUUGCCUUGCAUGCAUGAGGCCCUGGGUUCAAUUCUCUGCACCA